RNAcentral lists this unclassified non-coding RNA (175 nucleotides) under Halobellus salinus. RNAcentral's name for it is "HgcC family RNA". Lineage: Archaea; Methanobacteriati; Methanobacteriota; Halobacteria; Halobacteriales; Haloferacaceae. The record is from RNAcentral.
GAAGGCCCCAUUGACAUGGCUGUACGCGCUGCAACGCACGUCCUUGGUCACAACUGGACGGCUACCGCUGACGUUCCACGCGAAAGCGUACUUGAGACCCGAGGAAACGCGCAACCUGAAUAUCCCCUUCGGGGAAUCCUCGCGCUUUAGCGCGGGGAGGAUGUCAAAACGAUUC